UGCAGAUUUCUGCCUGUCAUGGCAUUAACAUGAAAUAAGAAACGAUGAUAUAUGGGUUCCCUCUACUUGCAUGAAAGAAAAUAAUUGAAACCAACUGAUUCUUGGACACAGGGCCUGGAAUAAAGAUGGAGAAGGUAAAGCUACACUGUGUGUCUGUGUUUGCUUCAACUGAUACGGGAACGGGAUGACAGAGGCAGUCAGGUCGCUUGUCUUCAUUAGCUGGAGAAAAUGGACAAAAUAAGGGCGUGGAGCACCAAGAUGGGCAGUGCUCUUCACCUCACCUGAAGAAGGGAUCUUUUACCUUGUGGGAGAGGAUAGGGACCGCACAUGUGGUGAUAUUGAGUCAUCUGUGCCCCCAGCAACUCUGUCUCUCCUACUGAAGGCACCCAAGGCUGACAGGCAGCAUCCAUUGCAAGACAAACAUCUCUUGAUUGGAUGUUGUAAAGACUGAUCUUUUUAGUUUACUAUAUUUUUGAUUGUGGACUAAAUUGGAACAGGGACCGAGAAGGAAGUGGUGCAUUUUUGAAAACAAAUUAUUGGAACUCAACUCCGAAUGCUGGUUGGUUUGUGCAAUUGUGAUCACUGUAAAUGACAGUGGUUAUCAGCCUGAAAACAACCCUUUGAUUUGUUUCUGGGCAACUGAACAGUGUGUGUGUGAGAAAACUGCAGAGAUAGAAAGUCUUCAGACUGAAAGAAUCAAGCAGAGGUGGUGUCAGUCACUGAAGAAGGGGAUGUGGCUGUGAAAACACAUUUGACAAACACUUUAUCAAACACUAAAGGGGAGAUUGAUAGCAAUGAAGGGGAACAAGCCAAAAGAUUAAAGCAGAAAUCCCGUCAGAGAGAAGAGCAGGGUGGACACACCUGGAAGAAAGCACUCAAAGUAAAAGCAAAAUAGUGUGCACGCAGGAGAUCUGAAACCAACACAAAGAAUUCAGGAGAAACUCAGCAGAUCUCUGUGGAAAGAGAACAACAGAAUUAACGUUUUGAGGCCAAUAUGACUCUUCCUCAGAAGAUUGGUGUUAACCUGAUUCCAUUGUACAGAUAAAUAGAGGACUUUGCGUACUUUGAUUCACUCAUUAACUUCUGCGGUGACCCCAAUGGGAGAGGAGCUUGAGAAUCAUUGGACUCUCACAAGUGAGUUGAAACAGAACCGAAUCUAUAACACACAGAAAAUUCACCUUCUGCUGGUGUGGGAAAGUCAGAUGUGGGAAAAGCCACAAUCGCAACUUCACUGUCCACUUUGUAUCAAUUUUGGAAAAUUCUGGUUCCAGAGUCUAUAAUUUGGAAUGAAAUUCAUAAACACUUAAAAGUAACUUCCAUUAAUCUGAGCAGUCAAAAUGGUUUGCAUAAACAGUUCAUAUUGGAUCAAUACUAUAGAAUCUUUUGAAUAAAUAAUAAAGAGGACAAAAGGAAGAAAGAUAAUAAACAUACUUUAUAUCACUUUGCAAAAAAAUUGGUGAUGAGAAAUUGUGAAUGAGGUAAUGACAAUGUCACACAUGCUUGCAUCAUUUGUUGUGUGUGAGUUCUGGGAUCUAUUACUUGUGCCAAGAGUAGUCUGCUGGGGAUGUCAAAUCUGAUGUUAGUCAGAGUGUUGGGACAAUGUGGGUGUUGGGUAUCAUGUCUGAGAGUUAAGGGUGGGUGUUGCCAGGUCUGGAGAUGUCAUGGGUUGGUGGGAUGUAGUGGUAAGUCAGGUACUUAGUUUAUUAGUUAUUGAGGAGUUAGAGCUGUUUUUACUUGUGUAACAAUUAAAUUAAAAUGAAUGGAAUUCUCCAAGAUCUCUGACUUCAUGGGAAACUGACUUUUUGGAGGUUUCCAGAUGCAGGGUGGCUGAGCAUUUUCCAAGGAGUCAACUGCAUUAUGAUGUCAGUCUAUCCCAACAUGCAACCCCAAUCUAUGCUGCUAUGAUCACUAGCAGGCCAGCAGAAUAGUAUUGGGACUAUACAGGAUUAGAAAACCAUAUUUGUGAUAUUACAGCUAAUGAGACCAUACCUUACGGUUCAUUGUAUUGAUACUGAUGGUUGACAAAAUAGUUACUGGAACAAUGAAGUCUAAGUGUCUGGUCUUGAAACAUUCAUAAUUGUUAUGAGGAAGGAGUUCUACCUCACGGAGAAUCAAGGUUGAUAGCAGAAAUCCCAAUUUAGGUCUUAUAUGUAUAUGGGGAACAUUAAUAUCCAGUUAACGUAGGGAAGAACACCCCUGGAUUAGGCCAAAUAGACCACAAUUGCCUUGUUUAGGUCUGAUCAUUCCUGCAUUGCUAAUGCAAGCAAGAAGUGUGUAACCAGGACGACAGCAGAUCCAUUGGUGGAGGCGAGUUGUCGCCGAAGAGUGGUGAUUUCCGUUCCAGCAGCAGUGGUGCAGAGAAUGAGACUCAUGCCUGGCCACCAGACUCAUAGCCCAUGAUGGAGCACUUAACAGGAAAGACAGUAAAGUUGGACACUUCUUAAUUUUUCUGGCGUUAUAUUCUAUGUUUUGGUUUGGCUUUUCUCUGUUUAGGAUGGAGCUGGAGAGCGGCGACAC
Long non-coding RNA from Hemiscyllium ocellatum (epaulette shark), 2517 nucleotides. RefSeq lists it as uncharacterized. The record is from RefSeq and is a predicted model, not a curated record. Lineage: Eukaryota; Metazoa; Chordata; Chondrichthyes; Orectolobiformes; Hemiscylliidae. The transcript is spliced from 4 exons.